RNAcentral lists this long non-coding RNA (1590 nucleotides) under Trifolium pratense (red clover). RNAcentral describes it as "long non-coding RNA (TPRA_LNC005747)". Lineage: Eukaryota; Viridiplantae; Streptophyta; Magnoliopsida; Fabales; Fabaceae. The record is from RNAcentral.
AAAAGAAGCUAUGUAUCAUUGUAAACCAAAUUUAAAGUUGUUGGAAGGCCUUCAAACUGCAUCUAAGUUUGUAAAGUUUGUCUAAAAUAGUAGUGAGCCCAACAUCCAAGAAACAGAAUCGCUCAUACCAUUGCUUGGUAGGUUGGUUUCAUUACAAAUCAUACUACAAAUCUCUCACACCAUGCUUUAAAACCUCUCAAAACAAAGAAACAGAAUCAACAACAAUAGUUAAUAUAUAGAGCAACCUUCCAUUUUCAUUCUCCUCCUUAGUUGCCUUCCAAAAAAAUGAAUGCGUUAAAAAAUGAUUGGGAGAGGAANNNNNNNNNNNNNNNNNNNNNNNNNNNNNNNNNNNNNNNNNNNNNNNNNNNNNNNNNNNNNNNNNNACCAAAAGAUAAUAUGAAAAAAAACAUUAUAGAAUCUAAUAGGGGGGACAUCAUAGAGUUUUAUAAAAAAUGGGACAAAGAUGAUGAUCUUUUGAAGGAAAGACAAUCUUCCUAAAGAUUUACAUUACUAAACUUAUAUUAACCAAUCUUCCUAAAGAUUUGGGACAAAGAAAAAAUGAGAGAAGCUAAGCAUAUAUUAACCAAAAUAUAUUUGUUACCUAUCUUCCUAAAGAUGAUAGAUCCUAAGUAGUAGAUUAAGAGAAUCUAGAAUAACCAUUCUGUUGAUCAUCUUGUCAUAUAGAUGAGGGAUUCUUUCAUAAACCUUCAAUCAAACAACAUACUAAAAACCAUAAAAUUAACAACAAACUAACAAUAAAAUUAACAGCUAAAAUGGUUAUCAAUCAAUACAGAAGAAAACAUAAACACCCUUAAAGAGCUAAUAAGGCAAACAAUUAUCCAAAAAACCAGCAAACUACUAACCAAAAACCAUUGAACCAGCAACCAAAAUCCAGAAAGUAUAAAAAUUAUAAAAUAAAAUAAAAUACCCUGAUUCAUGUACUUAUUGUGAUUGUGAAAAAAUAAAAUAACCUUGAUUGAAAUUAGGAACACCAAUUAAGGCAAACAUUGAAAUCAAUGGAAUUAGAAAUACAAUUAUUAUAGUAAAAUAUUUAAACAAUAAUUUAUAAAAUUAAAAAGCAUACCUUGUGAAGCCCUUUGAGCAUUCCUUUAUGAAGAUAACCUGCAUAUCAAUAUCAAUUGACAAAAGAAAAUGCAGACAGAACAAAAAUUAAUGUUAAAAACAAAUAUUGGAUACAUAUAAAUGGUGAAACCCAAUCAAAAUUCAAAAUCCGAAAAUCAAAAUAAAUUUUGCAGUCCCAAAUGGACCUAGAAAUCAUCUAACAACCCCUUCAUCAAUCACUUAAAUACAAAAUAAAAAAUGAAAUAAAACUGAGCUAGGAGACAUAGAGUAGAGAAAGAGAAGUACCGUCAAAUUCCAACAACAACUCGAGCUUAAAUAUAUCAUCUGCAAACAACCCAUGAAUCGUUUAAAUACAAAAAGAAAACCAAAGAAAGAUCCAGAAAAUCAAGAGUGAUACCUACACUUUGGGAGAACAUGAUUCGAAUUUGGUGAAUGAAACUUUUACCUCAUGAUGCGAGAAUGUGAAAAACAAAAUAAAAAGAGGAUUAGAAAAUUAGGGAUCCUAAA